Molecule: ribosomal RNA, 450 nt
Filed under: uncultured bacterium
Lineage: Bacteria
Description: partial 16S ribosomal RNA
Rfam family: Bacterial small subunit ribosomal RNA
Source: RNAcentral
GUGGGGAAUCUUCCGCAAUGGACGAAAGUCUGACGGAGCAACGCCGCGUGAGUGAUGAAGGUCUUCGGAUUGUAAAGCUCUGUUAAUCGGGACGAAAGAGCCUAGUGUGAAUAAUGCUAGGAAGUGACGGUACCGGAAUAGAAAGCCACGGCUAACUACGUGCCAGCAGCCGCGGUAAUACGUAGGUGGCAAGCGUUGUCCGGAAUUAUUGGGCGUAAAGCGCGCGCAGGCGGAUCUGCCAGACUGUCUUAAAAGUUCGGGGCUUAACCCCGUGAUGGGAUGGAAACUACAGAUCUAGAGUAUCGGAGAGGAAAGUGGAAUUCCUAGUGUAGCGGUGAAAUGCGUAGAUAUUAGGAAGAACACCAGUGGCGAAGGCGACUUUCUGGACGAAAACUGACGCUGAGGCGCGAAAGCCAGGGGAGCGAACGGGAUUAGAAACCCCAGUAGUCC